GCGCCGGCUCCGGUCCCUCCGGCGCCGUGUCGGUGCCGCAUGCGCAGCGCCCGGGAGCAGCAUGGCGGCGGGCAGGGUCCGGGUCCCGGCAGCGGCGGCAGCGGGCUCAUCUGUCACUGCAUCCCUUGAAAGCAGUCGUGUCAUCAGCCUAAGCACGGACCUGCUUCAAGAGACCCUGGGAGUGGAUGCAAGGGUAAAGUGCCCAGGGAAUACCCUGGAGUAAGAACAGAAACGGAAAGAGAUGACGACCUGCUGCAUGGAGGUCUGCAUUGCAGGGGCUGCGCUGCCACGUAGAAACCAGGUACCUGAUGCUCCUCUGCCUCCCUCCAGCCCCAACAGGACCCUGAGCAUCAGC
Molecule: long non-coding RNA, 355 nt
Organism: Pezoporus flaviventris
Lineage: Eukaryota; Metazoa; Chordata; Aves; Psittaciformes; Psittacidae
Exons: 3
Source: RefSeq, a predicted model, not a curated record